RNAcentral lists this unclassified non-coding RNA (207 nucleotides) under Hevea brasiliensis (rubber tree). Lineage: Eukaryota; Viridiplantae; Streptophyta; Magnoliopsida; Malpighiales; Euphorbiaceae. The record is from RNAcentral.
GUUAAUUUGAAAUUAUGAAACAUAGCAAAUUGUUGUUAGAAUCGUAGCUUGGCCUUAUGUCCAAAUUACACGGGUGUUGAUUAGACAAUCACAUGGGCCUGUAUUUCUUAACAUGGCAUCAAAGCGGUGAGGCCCAACAGGCAUAGAUUUUAGAUCUGAAAGCAUGGUGGGCUGUGCCUAAAUGAGGUAGACCCAUGAGCUGAGCCA